AAUUUUGGACAAUGGGGGAAACACUGAUCCAGUCAGCCCGCGUGUAUGAAGAAUGCCAUCGGUUUGUAAAGUACUUUUGGCAGAGAAGAAAAGGUAUCUCCAAAUACGAGAUACUGCUGACUGUAUCUGCAGAAUAUGCAUAGGCUAACUACAUGCCAGAAGCCGCGGUAAUACGUAUGGUGCAAUCGUUAAUCGGAAUUACUGGGCGUAAAGCGUGUGUAGGCGGUUCGGAAAGAAAGAUGUGAAAUCCCAGGGCUCAACCUUGGAACUGCAUUUUUAACUGCCGAGCUAGAGUAUGUCAGAGGAGGGUAGAAUUCCACGUGUAGCAGUGAAAUGCGUAGAUAUGUGGAGGAAUACCGAUGGCGAAGGCAGCCCCCUGGGAUAAUACUGACGCUCAGACACGAAAGCGUGGGGAGCAAACAGG
RNAcentral lists this ribosomal RNA (424 nucleotides) under uncultured bacterium. RNAcentral describes it as "partial 16S ribosomal RNA". It matches the Rfam family "Bacterial small subunit ribosomal RNA", at positions 360 to 776 of the family's 1533-position model. The record is from RNAcentral.